RNAcentral lists this transfer-messenger RNA (348 nucleotides) under human gut metagenome. It matches the Rfam family "transfer-messenger RNA". From Rfam's summary of the family: Bacterial tmRNA, also known as 10Sa RNA or SsrA, is named for its dual tRNA and mRNA-like properties. The record is from RNAcentral.
GGGGGUGUUUCAGAUUCGACUGGUGUGAAAGGGAGCGUUAAGCAUACCGAAGGCUCGGCUUCGUAAAAACGGAACUUAAAAAAUAAACGACAAUAGUCAAAAUUCUUACGCUUACGCCGCUUAGUGCGUAGCCGUCGGACCCCGUAUUCCGCGGACGGGAAUUCCGGCGUCAAUCACGCGGAAAAACGAGCCCGGGAGCGUUGCGACUCGGGAACGGGACUAAGCAACUAAGGUAUCGGGUAGUGAGUUCGUGGACGACCCCGAUCGACAAAAAACAACGGACUGAGUAUGGAGAAAGACGCUUUUAAUCUCAUUAGGACGCGAGUGCAAGUCUCGCCAUCUCCACCA